GACGAACGCUGGCGGCGUGCUUAACACAUGCAAGUCGAACGGAAAGGCCCUGCUUUUGUGGGGUGCUCGAGUGGCGAACGGGUGAGUAACACGUGAGUAACCUGCCCUUGACUUUGGGAUAACUUCAGGAAACUGGGGCUAAUAUCGGAUAGGAGCUCCUGCUGCAUGGUGGGGGUUGGAAAGUUUCGGCGGUUGGGGAUGGACUCGCGGCUUAUCAGCUUGUUGGUGGGGUAGUGGCUUACCAAAGCUUUGACGGGUAGCCGGCCUGAGAGGGUGAACGGCCACAUUGGGACUGAGAUACGGCCCAGACUCCUACGGGAGGCAGCAGUGGGGAAUAUUGCACAAUGGGCGGAAGCCUGAUGCAGCAACGCCGCGUGCGGGAUGACGGCCUUCGGGUUGUAAACCGCUUUCGCCUGUGACGAAGCGUGAGUGACGGUAAUGGGUAAAGAAGCACCGGCUAACUACGUG
Molecule: ribosomal RNA, 468 nt
Filed under: uncultured bacterium
Lineage: Bacteria
Description: partial 16S ribosomal RNA
Rfam family: Bacterial small subunit ribosomal RNA
Source: RNAcentral